CCAACAGGGAUUGCCUCAGUAACGGCGAGUGAAGCGGCAACAGCUCAAAUUUGAAAUCUGGCUCACGCCCGAGUUGUAAUUUGCAGAGGAUGCUUUGGGCGCGGCGCUUUCCAAGUCCCCUGGAACGGGGCGCCACAGAGGGUGAGAGCCCCGUCUGGUCGGCCGCCAAGCCUGUGUAAAGCUCCUUCGACGAGUCGAGUAGUUUGGGAAUGCUGCUCUAAAUGGGAGGUAGACCCCUUCUAAAGCUAAAUACCGGCCAGAGACCGAUAGCGCACAAGUAGAGUGAUCGAAAGAUGAAAAGCACUUUGAAAAGAGGGUUAAAAAGUACGUGAAAUUGUUGAAAGGGAAGCGCUUGUGACCAGACGUGUGUCGGGUGUUCAGCGGGCGUUCUCGCCCGUGUAUUCGCCCCGGCGCAGGCCAGCGUCGGUUCGCGCGGGGGGAUAAAGGCGUCAGGAACGUGGCUCUUUCGGGAGUGUUAUAGCCUGGCGCGUCAUGCCCCCGCCUGGACCGAGGUUCGCGCUCCGCAAGGACGCUGGCGUAAUGGUCCCCAGCGGCCCGUCUUGAAACACGGACCAAGGAGUCGAGGUUUUGCGCGAGUGUCUGGGUGUCAAACCCGCACGCGUAAUGAAAGUGAACGCAGGUGGGAGCUUCGGCGCACCACCGACCGAUCCUGAUGUUCUCGGAUGGAUUUGAGUACGAGCGUAGGGCCUCGGACCCGAAAGAUGGUGAACUAUACUUGGAUAGGGUGAAGCCAGAGGAAACUCUGGUGGAGGCUCGCAGCGGUUCUGACGUGCAAAUCGAUCGUCAAAUCUGAGUAUGGGGGCGAAAGACUAAUCGAACCAU
Molecule: ribosomal RNA, 843 nt
Filed under: Pseudodinemasporium minimum
Lineage: Eukaryota; Fungi; Ascomycota; Sordariomycetes; Chaetosphaeriales; Chaetosphaeriaceae
Description: Pseudodinemasporium sp. YD-2021b partial large subunit ribosomal RNA
Rfam family: Eukaryotic large subunit ribosomal RNA
Source: RNAcentral